Molecule: ribosomal RNA, 497 nt
Filed under: uncultured bacterium
Lineage: Bacteria
Description: partial 16S ribosomal RNA
Rfam family: Bacterial small subunit ribosomal RNA
Source: RNAcentral
GAUGAACGCUGGCGGCGUGCCUAAUACAUGCAAGUCGAGCGAACGGCCUCGACUCUUGCUUCUCUGCUGUUAGCGGCGGCCUGGGAAGUAACACGUGGAUAACCUACCUCUCAGACUGGGAUAACUUCGUGAAACCGGUGCUACUACCGGAUGAUCUUUUGAACCGCAUGGUUCAAAAGUGAAAGACGGUCUUGCUGUCACUUAUAGAUGGAUCCGCGCUGCAUUAGCUAGUUGGUAAGGUAACGGCUUACCAAGGCAACGAUGCAUAGCCGACCUGAGAGGGGGAUCGGCCACACGGGAAGUGAGACACGGUCCAGACUCCUGGGGGAGGCAGCAGUAGGGAAUCUUACGCAAGGGGGGAAAGCGUGACGGAGCAAAGCCGCGUGAGGGAUGAAGGUCUUAGGAUGGUAAAACGCAGUUAGUAGGGAAGAACAUAUGUGUAAGCAACGGUGCAGAUCGUGACGGUACCUAAUGAGAAAGCCACGGCUAACUACGUG